AGCACUGUACAUUCACUGCCCCCACCUACAAUCCCUGCCGGUACGAGACUCGAACCCGCAACCUUUGGGUUACGAGUCCGACUCUCUAACCAUUAGGCCACAACUUUGAUUUGUUAUGAUGUGAAUUUCAAAAUAAUUUCUCCACUUCGUUUGAGCAGAUGUUGGUGUUUUUGAAAGAGGUGUGUUGUUGAUAUCUUUAACACGAUGCUCUUGCAGAUAGACUCACGUAGCAGCGGGUUGGCGGCACGCUGCAGGAGCUGUUGUGUCUGGCUCAUGGCAAGUUCUGCACUGCAGAUCACACUGUCUGCAGCCCGUUCAACAUUUUCCAUCGUGUUGCUCACUGGGCCUUGGAUAACCAAGGGUUCCUCUGUAUCAGUGAAGAAGAAACCAGCAAUGGAGUGUCUCAGGGAAACCCGAACUAAUUACCCCACUCAACUUUGGAGCAGGUGUAUAAGCAUAUUCUGCCACCUGGAGUUCACAAGUUACUGUUCGGG
Molecule: long non-coding RNA, 494 nt
Filed under: Sinocyclocheilus anshuiensis
Lineage: Eukaryota; Metazoa; Chordata; Actinopteri; Cypriniformes; Cyprinidae
Description: lncRNA (ENSSANG00000013619.1)
Source: RNAcentral